This is a small nuclear RNA of Eptesicus fuscus (big brown bat), 103 nucleotides long. The record is from RefSeq and is a predicted model, not a curated record. NCBI's taxonomy places the organism in Eukaryota, Metazoa, Chordata, Mammalia, Chiroptera, Vespertilionidae.
GUGCUCGCUUCGGCAGCGCAUGGACUGCCAUUGGAGCCAUACAGAGGUUAGCAUGGCCCCUGCGCGAGGAUGAUGGCAAAUUCGUGAAGCGUUCCAUGUUUAA